RNAcentral lists this long non-coding RNA (4231 nucleotides) under Lupinus angustifolius (narrow-leaved blue lupine). RNAcentral's name for it is "long non-coding RNA (LANG_LNC002066)". The stretch from base 3478 to 3550 matches the Rfam family "tRNA". The record is from RNAcentral. Lineage: Eukaryota; Viridiplantae; Streptophyta; Magnoliopsida; Fabales; Fabaceae.
UUUGCUGAACUCUUGCAUUGUCACAGCCAUUUGAGGAGCCUUCAUGAGGUUAUUGACAAGCUUCAUAACCUCGGCGCUCUUGGAUAGAUGUCCCACUGUGCGAGCAAUUGCUGCAAAGCCAUCAAACUCAUGAGUUUCCAAAGAACAACAUUUAAAUAACUUUAAUAUGUCAUCAUGGCCAAUUGAAAAAGAAUCCACAGUUAAAACAAUAAAUGGUUAAUCAAACUAUUACACUUAAUUAGUCAAUAGAAGCAGUUAUUUCCAGGGAAAAGUCCAGAAACACCCUUGAACUUUGCAUGAUGUGCAAUUUGAAAGCUGAAUUUCAAAAAAUUUGUAAAAAGGACACCAAUCUCUGCUUUGGGUGCAAAAUGGACCUUCGUCAUCUAAGGCAUUAAAAAUUGGAUGAAAACACCACAUGCAAAGGAUAUCUGGAGUUAGUUUUAAACAUCUUUGAAGUCCAGGGGCUAAAUCAAACAUCAUUUAAUGUUCAAGGAUGUUUUUGAAUAGCAAAGGACUAUUUUUCACCUGAACCACCAAAGUUCAUGAUCCUUUUUACACAAUUUUUAAAAUUAAGGGACUAAUCACAAAUCAUGCAAAAAUUUGACUUUUCACUUAUCUUCAUUCUGUUCCCAGUUUUCAAAGUUUUUUGAAGGAAAUGGUUAAAACAAGAAAAGUCGUUUUAAUCAUUUCUGUGACAACUAUGAUAACAAGAGAAUAAAAUUGAAACAAUAUGGCACUUGUGUAACUAUUGUUGAAAACAUGCCUACUGGAAAUGAAAACAAAAAACAAACGAAAUAGUCCCCUUACAUUAAAUGGUUUGCCAACCUAUAAUUAUUGCAUCCGAUCAAAUACAAAAUCCUGAACAAAAGAGAGUUGACUGAACAAGACAAAGCUUGACUCAACCCUUAAAUAGUGGAAAGGGGAUGACCAUCAACACAAUGUUAAGGUUGUUUGUCUUAUCACCUGGAGGUCAUAGGUUCAAACAAGUUGUUAAAACAUAUAGUCAGCCUUGGAGCGGAAGGGGGUAUAGUAUCAUGGCGGCAGUGGAGCGUAACAUUAAGCAUAGCUCCAACUAAAAUACAAAAUUAUAUUUAAAAUACAUAUAUGUGCAUACACAAUAACUAAAAUACAGAAUUCCAGGAGUAUUCUUCCAGCCCAGAUCCGUCCUAUUUCCUGGGGUAGUUCAACACCUUACCCCUCCACCAGAUUCACUAGCAUUCGACAUAUUUUGAUAAGGAAAAGAGAGAAAACAGAGGGUGGAUAUAGAGAAGAGAAAGUCCAGGCUAAGGGAAGUGGUUGCAGGGUUUUGGUUCAGAAACAAGAAGAAGCCUACGAAAGAGAUUAGAAGGUUGCAAGGGUUAUGGAAGAGAGUGGUUCAUAAUAUGGAGAGAAUUGAGGGUGGGGUGGAAGAGUGAAAAAAACUGAAGGGAACAGUAGUAAUAUAAGUUAAAUAUAAUGAGUUAAAAAAAUAGGGUAAAAAUUGGGACUAGAGGUUGAGCCAAGAAAAGAAACCUGCUCACCUGAGAACACAGUGUGUGACCCGAAAACACAGCCGUCUUCCCCGAAGCAAAAACGUUUGACAAUCCGAAGCAUUGUUUUGUCCCACACUGCUCUGGAACGUGAUUUUGCCCACGCCAACUCGUUAUUCACCACGAAAAGCACUGAAUCGUUCAAUUCAAUGCUUCAAUGCGCAGUUUUGAGAAGUCCAAAUCCUGGAAACGGCCUCUUCGCUUCUAAGGGUAUGGCUGUAUACAUCUACCUCCCCAGACCUCACUAGGUGAGAGCCUCAUGCACUUGAAUACCCAUUUUUUAUUAUAUAGUAAAACUCAUGAAUUUAUUUUUAGGGAUUUAUUCAGUUUUCAUGAAAUAAGAAGAACUUCUACCUUUUCUCCACGAUAAUAAACAAUAUCCUUAUUUCAGUCUCACAACCUAUCUCAUUCUUAACCAAACAUCUAUCUUCUUCGUCUCUCGUUCUUAUUUCUCUCACAUUGUUUUUAUUUAAGAACAAAAUUCAUAAAAUAAGAAUACUACAGUAGAAACAAAAUAAGAAUAUUCUUAUUUUAUUAAAAACAAUCUUAAAAACAACUAUUAUAGUUGCUCUAACUCAUAAUCACUAAGGAGCAUUAUUUAAUAACUAUAUACUCUAAAUUUAAAAACUAAUAUCAUACUUAAUUAAACAACUACCAAGGAAUGUUUCACUACAAAUGUCACAAAUAAGUUAAAAAUAUCAUCAAAUCAAAUAAUAUAGAUUUUAUACUUUAAUUGUAACAAAAUCACACAAGUAAGGUUUUACUAUAUAAACUAAACUAACAAAUAGCAAAUAUCACUAUAAAUAAGUUAAAACUUUUAAUUUUUUUAAUCUUAAAUCAAAGUCUUUUUGUUGUUAUACAAAAAUUGUUUUUUAAUAAAAUUGGUUGGUCUCACCAUACGAGGCACUGAUUUGAGAAACUCAAAUCAAUCAUAUGUUAAAUUCAUAUUGAACUAAUCGGUCUUAGCCAGUUCUUAUAAUACUGCGUUUUGACUGUCUUGGAAAGGCACAUUGUUUACUAGAAUAACUAACUCCCAUUUCAUUAAAAUAGUUGUAAUAAAAGUUAUUAUUUUUAAAUUAUUAUUUUUUAUUUUAAUGAUAUUUAAUAGAUACGCUUGCUUACAAUUCUUUGUCACGCUAAUCACCAAUGGGCCAAAGAAAAAAAAUUAAAAGGGGAAGGAUGAGACAUAGGUCAUUCCACACAUUUCUUGUAAUUGGGAUUCUUUUUGUAAUUUGCAAUUAGGCUUAAAAUUCCAUUAUUAAAACGAAACGAAGUGGUAAAAGUGUAAAACCAAUGUUUAGAAAUCGCACAGCUCAAUUCAACAAGAAAAAUCAGUGAACCGAGUCUGGAACCGGUUCAACAGACUAAAAGCCGCCCAGUUAAAAACUGGUAUUGAAUCGAUUAAGAUCUGGAUGGAAUACAAGAGUACAUCGAAACCUUGCUAAUAAAUGAUGAAAUUAACUAACUUUUACCAGGACCAGAAUUUAAACACACUUGCAGCACCAUUUCACAUGAAAACAUUGUUCCAAAUCCGAACACAAUAUCGUGGAUUUUUAUACAACAAAUCCCUGACCAUGGAUAAAAUUAGCUCCGCACUUCAUUAUAUAAAAUUUUAAAAAAAUUCUACAACUUGGUAUAGUUUGAAGAACUUGAGUGUAAUUUACAUUCAAACUUCCCAUUACAGUAUUCUCUUUCCCAUUAGUAGUGUCAAAGCGUACCAUACAAACAGGUACAAGGUAGAUGCAGCAAGACUAGCACAUUGUUUAAGACCUAACCUUAGCAAGUCGAGCCCUUAUUUCUUCCAUUUCUUCCUCAUCAUCAACACCCUCAGCUAUAGCCUCUUCCUACACGUGAUAAUAAAUUUCAUAAUUAAGGUAAACUCUAACGUUGUGUGGAGUGUGGACGACUUGAUUCAAGGUCUGACUGAAUAUUGCAUGUGAUAUAUUUUGAUUCCAUAACUCAAUGGUUAGAGCACUUGUUUAGUAAGUGGGAGGUCUUGAGUUCAACUCUCAAUGAAAGCAUAUUUUUUUAUGGCCCCGACCCUACCUAGUAGGAGUGUAGGACUAAGGCUUGGUCGCAGUGUAAACUCCUCUUAGGCAAGAAAGAACUUAUUCAUGGAAAAUAAAUUAAUUGCACAUACCUCGUCUGCAGCUCCAGCCCUUUGAGCAGGUUGCUUCACCUUUUCUUUCCUGACAGCUUCAGGAAGCUGUGCGGCUGUCUCGCCAGCUAUUGCAGUUAAGACUUUAUCAACUUCUUCUUCUAUCUCAUCUUCUAUGUCCUCAGAAUCAAGUGCUGAGUCAACAGCAUCAUUUACCAUCUCCUCAAUAACUCCUGCCUGAAAGAGACAUAAUUCCCGAUAACUACAGUGCAACUGUCUUCUCUAACCAUAACGAGGGGAGAGGAGGAAAAAAGUGGUUUCUUAAUACAGCAUUGAAAAUAUUGCAUGAUUACCUUUGUCAUUUCUUUGCUGAACUCUUGCAUUGUCACAGCCAUUUGAGGAGCCUUCAUGAGGUUAUUGACAAGCUUCAUAACCUCGGCGCUCUUGGAUAGAUGUCCCACUGUGCGAGCAAUUGCUGCAAAGCCAUCAAACUCAUGAGUUUCCAAAGAACAACAUUUAAAUAACUUUAAUAUGUCAUCAUGGCCAAUUGAAAAAGAAUCCACAGUUAAAACAAUAAAUGGUUAAUCAAACUAUUACACUUAAU